GUAAAAAGUCGUAACAAGGUUUCCGUAGGUGAACCUGCGGAAGGAUC
RNAcentral lists this ribosomal RNA (47 nucleotides) under Tulasnella dendritica. RNAcentral describes it as "partial 18S ribosomal RNA". It matches the Rfam family "Eukaryotic small subunit ribosomal RNA". The record is from RNAcentral. Lineage: Eukaryota; Fungi; Basidiomycota; Agaricomycetes; Cantharellales; Tulasnellaceae.